This 329-nucleotide ribosomal RNA is filed under the name uncultured eukaryote. RNAcentral's name for it is "partial 18S ribosomal RNA". It matches the Rfam family "Eukaryotic small subunit ribosomal RNA", at positions 1470 to 1796 of the family's 1831-position model. The record is from RNAcentral.
CCCCUAGAUGUUCUGGGCCGCACGCGCGCUACACUGAACAGUUCAACAAGUCUUAACCUUGGCCGAUAGGUCUGGGUAAUCUUUGAACGCUGUUCGUGAUUGGGAUAGACCUUUGCAAUUAUGGGUCUUCAACGAGGAAUUCCUAGUAAACGCAAGUCAUCAGCUUGCAUUGAUUACGUCCCUGCCCUUUGUACACACCGCCCGUCGCACCUACCGAUUGAAUGAUCCGGUGAGGCCCCCGGACUGUGGCAACGCAGCUGGUUCGCCAGCCGCGAUGCCGCGGGAAGCUGUCCAAACCUUAUCAUUUAGAGGAAGGAGAAGUCGUAACA